Molecule: ribosomal RNA, 474 nt
Filed under: Conchiformibius sp. canine oral taxon 289
Lineage: Bacteria; Pseudomonadati; Pseudomonadota; Betaproteobacteria; Neisseriales; Neisseriaceae
Description: bacterial SSU rRNA
Rfam family: Bacterial small subunit ribosomal RNA
Source: RNAcentral
GAGUUUGAUUAUGGCUCAGAUUGAACGCUGGCGGCAUGCUUUACACAUGCAAGUCGGACGGCAGCACGGGUGCUUGCACCUGGUGGCGAGUGGCGAACGGGUGAGUAAUGCAUUGGAACGUACCGAGUAGUGGGGGAUAACUGUCCGAAAGGAUAGCUAAUACCGCAUACGACCUCAGGGUGAAAGCAGGGGACCUUAGGGCCUUGCGCUAUUUGAGCGGCCAAUGUCUGAUUAGCUGGUUGGUGGGGUAAAGGCCUACCAAGGCGACGAUCAGUAGCGGGUCUGAGAGGAUGAUCCGCCACACUGGGACUGAGACACGGCCCAGACUCCUACGGGAGGCAGCAGUGGGGAAUUUUGGACAAUGGGCGCAAGCCUGAUCCAGCCAUGCCGCGUGUCUGAAGAAGGCCUUCGGGUUGUAAAGGACUUUUGUACGGGAAGAAAAGGUUGUGGAUAAUACCCAUGACUGAUGACGGU